Molecule: ribosomal RNA, 433 nt
Filed under: uncultured bacterium
Lineage: Bacteria
Description: partial 16S ribosomal RNA
Rfam family: Bacterial small subunit ribosomal RNA
Source: RNAcentral
AACGAACGCUGGCGGCAUGCCUAACACAUGCAAGUCGAACGAGACCUUCGGGUCUAGUGGCGCCCGGGUGCGUAACGCGUGGGAACCUGCCCUUAGGUUCGGAAUAACUCCCCGAAAGGGGUUCUAAUACCGGAUAAUGUCUUCGGACCAAAGAUUUAUCGCCUUUGGAUGGGCCCGCGUUGGAUUAGCUAGUUGGUAGGGUAAAAGCCUACCAAGGCGACGAUCCAUAGCUGGUCUGAGAGGAUGAUCAGCCACACUGGGACUGAGACACGGCCCAGACUCCUACGGGAGGCAGCAGUGGGGAAUAUUGGACAAUGGGCGAAAGCCUGAUCCAGCAAGGCCGCGUGAGUGAUGAAGGCCUUAGGGUUGUAAAGCUCUUUUACCCGGGAUGAUAAUGACAGUACCGGGAGAAUAAGCUCCGGCUAACUCCGUG